Oryctolagus cuniculus (rabbit) is the source of this 2363-nucleotide long non-coding RNA. NCBI's taxonomy places the organism in Eukaryota, Metazoa, Chordata, Mammalia, Lagomorpha, Leporidae. The record is from Ensembl.
UUUGUAACAGACUUGAUCUAAUAUAUGAAAAAUUUUACAUGGGGGAUAUUUAAGGUGCAUUCAAUUAGAAGAAUUCAUCCUCCAAUCCAACUUUCUUUAGGGAAACAAAAAACCUAAAAACAAUAACAACAACAAAAAAACACUGAGCUGCCAGGUUCUUGGUAAAUUUUUUUCAAGAGUGUUAAAUGCAAACAUCUUUGCUUGAUAUUCAUCUUUGGCAAUGACAAUUUCAUCACAUAGACAACAUGAAUAAAAGAUAUUAUUCUCAGUCAUUAGCAACUCAGUCAGGGAAAAGAGAAAAAUUGGACAUUUAAGAAUGCUUUACUUUUCUGUCAUUUCAGACUAAAUGCCACUCUUAAAUGAUGGCUAGUCAAACCUACAGAAUCUAUUAGUAACUUGAAAACAAGUGCGAAGGGAUGCCAAAACCCCAAGGAAUCUUAAACUUGCAUUUGUCAGGCUUGUCACAUCAUUGCUACUGGUAAUAAAAGCAUUUUUGUUUUAUGUUGCAAUGUCUAUGGAGAAUAAUAUUUUCAUGGUCCAGAGUAAAAAGUGAUAUUGCAGCAUUCAUCACCUAUUUUGAAAUAAAAUAGCCUAAAAAGGUGGAAAAUUGACAUUCAUUAUUUUAGGGCUAAUUUAAAAAGCUGAUGCAUUUAUGGACAUUUUCCUGGUUGCUCUUUAUAAAGUUCAAGUGUUCAGUAGUCAUUCAAUUUUCAGAAGCAUGUCCUUACAUGGUUUUCAUGAAUUUUGUUGAGUUCUCAGAAGUAAAUGCUUGGUUUUAAUGAUGGUAGUGAUACCCAACCAAAUUUACCCGUGUACUUAUUUUCCUAUAAUCACUCCACUGCUGGUUCUGUCACAUUCAAAGACCAACUAAAGAAAGAAUUGUCAUUUUUCAAGUUCUCUAAGAUUUACCCAGAGUCCAAACUUCCACUCCUUUCUUUCUUUCUUUUUCUCUCUUCCAGGUCUCAGAAGCACUGAUCUGAUGAAAGAAAACUCAAUUUGGGAGUCCAAAAAGAGAGCAGACUCUAAGGGUUUCAGUGUGAUGCUGUCCCAUCUUGGUGAGUGCAGAGCUCUACAUCUGGAAAAACAAACCUCAGUGUCUCUGAAAAGGGACAAACACAUCUAUGGGUUGCAUGUACUCCUAGGAUGUAGAGGAACUGAAGACAAAACAACACUGCUCCUAAAGGUGGGUCCUCCAUGCUGUUUUGUUGAAUCUUUGCAACUCUUAGAGAUGGAAGGUAUUGUUUUAUGCCAUGUCUAUAGAUGAAGGGAUUGAGAUUGAGGGAGGUUAGGUAACUUACGUAAGGUCAUAGCCACAGAAGGGGAGGUGCUGAGGCUUUGAUGAGACAUGUGUGCUUCCUCACUAUACUUUGCUGACUCUUAGAACACAGUGGAUCUGUGUUACCCAAGCUUUUGCCACUGCACGCUCCAGAAAUCACCCUUGCCAAUUCUGUCACCUAAUCUCUUCACAUGGAGGGAGUCAGGUAUCAUAGGAAACAUUAAAAAAAAAAAUUGGGAAUUAGCACGCUGGAGUACUUUUCCAGUCCCCUCCCUGCUGUUUACAUAAAAUGACUACUAUGUAAUCAAGUUAUUUUACUAACUCAGUUGUUUUAACUGCAUCACCACUCAUUUAACAGUUGUACUCCUUUCUUGAUUUUCAAAGUAAGAACAGGUCAGUUGCUACUCUGGAACAUAGAUUUAUAAUUCUAAAAAAAUACGAAACCACCAGAGUUUCAAUUUCUCUGUUAAAAAGGAGGUGUAUGCAAAAUGGGUGGGAGAUGGGAAAGAGAGGAGAUAACGACUUACAUGAUAAAUAGAAGGACUGAGUGAGAUAAUGCUCCCCAAAUAUGGUCAGUUGCUACCUAGACACUUCCCCCGCCCUGGUUUGGGCUAUUUAUUGAAAUCCCACUGUGACCCGUGGUGACAUGGACACCAUCUCCUCUUUUUUUUAACCUUUCUACAGCCUAUACUUCCUUUGAGACUGAGAUGAAAUUUUUUAAAACUUAACUCAUAAUGAAGAUGAUGAUUCUAAGAGUCGCUAGCCUUUUUUAGUCCUUAGAAUGUUGCAGUUGCAGCGACAGCAGUUAUUUGCAUGGACUCAUUUAAUAUAACCCUUAUAGCAGCCUGGGCAGUUAGGUAUAUUUCACAAGUGAGGAGACUGUAGCUGGGGAGGAUCAACCCACUGUUCAAUAUCACCUAGAUACUAAUCCCCGAGCAAGGAUUCAUACCCUUGUUUAAGACCAGACUCUUAAACACCAUGAUCCUGAACCACUUAACUAGUUUUUCUAUUAUUUCAUAGAUUAUGUAUUUAAUAGUGAAUAAUGAUAUUUAAUAAAUAUUACUCUUAUACAUUGAUAUGGAAUACA